GUAGAUAUAGUUUAACACAAAACAUUAGAUUGUGGUUCUAAAAAUGGGAGUUGAACCCUUCCUAUCCACC
Molecule: transfer RNA, 70 nt
Filed under: Ameiurus melas (black bullhead)
Lineage: Eukaryota; Metazoa; Chordata; Actinopteri; Siluriformes; Ictaluridae
Description: tRNA-His
Rfam family: tRNA
About the family: Transfer RNA (tRNA) molecules are approximately 80 nucleotides in length. Their secondary structure includes four short double-helical elements and three loops (D, anti-codon, and T loops).
Source: RNAcentral